CCCCUUCCUGUUGGGAGCCAGGGGGUAUUUAUAAGUGGGUUUGAUGUUACCUGAUGUGCCAUCCUGCCGGGGCAGGGUCGUACCUCUGAUGGCGUCUGUCGUCGUGGUCGUUGCGUGGAAGGCCGAGCUGCCGCAGGGUAUGGGGGGUGUCAGUCGGCGCCUUCCCCUGCCUCGGCCGACCAUGAGGGGUCAGCCGAGGAGGUUGUUUGGGUAUGGUGGGUGUGGGUGCGCGUCGUGUCAUUGUUAAUGC
This 250-nucleotide long non-coding RNA is filed under the name Musa acuminata (dwarf banana). RNAcentral describes it as "long non-coding RNA (MACU_LNC010275)". Lineage: Eukaryota; Viridiplantae; Streptophyta; Magnoliopsida; Zingiberales; Musaceae. The record is from RNAcentral.